GACCUGGUCCUGACUGGACCAUGUAGGUCAUUCAGGAGCCCUGCUGGGUCUGACCUGGUCCUGACUGGACCCGUCUGACCCUCCAGACUUUGAACUCCUCUGUUUUUGUGACUUUGCUCCUCGCUGAGUUUUCCUCUCAUGGAAUUUGUCUGAGUGGAAGUCCAACAAACAUCUCAGCAGGUUUCUGCAGAAACACAAGUCUGACUCGUGUUCAGUAAGGAACACCUGCAGAGAUCCACCAGCCAAUCAGGAGGCAGCAGACCAGAGUCGUUUCCAGAUGUUUCAGAGCAGCAGCUUCAUCCAGCUGUAGGCCUUCAUCAUCAUCAUCAUCAUCAUCUUUAUUGGUAAAAACUUUAUUGAUCCUGUUUCUGAUCAGUGGUGAAGUGUGUGGGAACAAAGUGCACAUCUGCUAAUGUUUGUAGUCUGUUGUAAUGGUUCACCUUCACUGUUCAUUACACUGGACUAUGGUACAGAACCACACAAGCAGAACCACUUCCAGGGUCCAGAACCACUGAUUAACGAUCCACUCAACAAACCUUAAAACCUGCAUCAUUAUUAUUUUUAUUUUCAUUAAAAACACACAUUUCUACAGGAAGUUUGGUGAAAAAAGGCUGAGCACAGUUUCUGUCUGAUGUCAUUUAUUCACACACACACACACACACACACACACACACACACACACACACACACACACACA
This is a long non-coding RNA of Austrofundulus limnaeus, 697 nucleotides long. RefSeq lists it as uncharacterized. Lineage: Eukaryota; Metazoa; Chordata; Actinopteri; Cyprinodontiformes; Rivulidae. The transcript has 2 exons. The record is from RefSeq and is a predicted model, not a curated record.